RNAcentral lists this ribosomal RNA (279 nucleotides) under uncultured bacterium. RNAcentral describes it as "partial 16S ribosomal RNA". It matches the Rfam family "Bacterial small subunit ribosomal RNA", at positions 506 to 784 of the family's 1533-position model. The record is from RNAcentral.
UGCCAGCCGCCGCGGUAAUACGGGGGGUGCAAGCGUUAUCCGGAUUCACUGGGUUUAAAGGGUGCGCAGGCGGACCGAUAAGUCAGUGGUGAAAUCCCGCAGCCCAACUGCGGAACUGCCAUUGAAACUGCCGGUCUUGAGUUCGGUUGAGGUAGACGGAAUGUAGCAUGUAGCGGUGAAAUGCUUAGAUAUGCUACAGAACACCGAUUGCGAAGGCAGUUUGCCAAACCGAUACUGACGCUGAGGCACGAAAGCGUGGGGAGCGAACAGGAUUAGAUA